RNAcentral lists this ribosomal RNA (301 nucleotides) under uncultured bacterium. RNAcentral describes it as "partial 16S ribosomal RNA". It matches the Rfam family "Bacterial small subunit ribosomal RNA", at positions 509 to 807 of the family's 1533-position model. The record is from RNAcentral.
CAGUAGCCACGGUAAUACGUAGGGUGCGAGCGUUAAUCGGAAUUACUGGGCGUAAAGCGCACGCAGGCGGCUCGAUAAAUUAGAAGUGAAAGCCUUGGGCUUAACCUGAAAAUUGCUUUUAAGACUGUCGAGCUAGAAUCCAGAAGAGGGUAGUGGAAUUCCGAGUGUAGAGGUGAAAUUCGUAGAUAUUCGGAAGAACACCAGUGGCGAAGGUGGCUCACUGGCUCAUUCUAGACGCUGAGGUGCGAAAGCGUGGGGAGCAAACAGGAUUAGAUACCCCCGUAGUCCCUGUCUCUUAUAC